UACGAAGGGUGCAAACGUUGCUCGGAAUUAUUGGGCGUAAAGCGCACGUAGGCGGCUUUGCAAGUCGGAUGUGAAAUCCCUCGGCUCAACCAAGGAAGUGCACUCGAAACUGCGUAGCUAGAGUCCUGGAGAGGAAGGUGGAAUGCUUGGUGUAGAGGUGAAAUUCGUAGAUAUUCGGAAGAACACCAGUGGCGAAGGCGACUCGCUGGACAAGUAUUGACGCUGAGGUGCGAAAGCGUGGGGAGCAAACAGG
Molecule: ribosomal RNA, 253 nt
Filed under: uncultured bacterium
Lineage: Bacteria
Description: partial 16S ribosomal RNA
Rfam family: Bacterial small subunit ribosomal RNA
Source: RNAcentral